GAUGCUAGUUUAGAUCCAUUUUCCAUAUGAGGAGGUGGGAUGUAAUUAAUUAGCUGUUCUUUUGAUUUCUAAGUAUCGCAUGUACAUUGCACAAGGGCAUGUACUUUCGACAGAGGCUAGAAAAAGGAAAUAAAAUACAAGCUGCACCACUUAAGUCUUCUUGGUACAAAUGAUGGAUCAGCAGGGGAUUAUCAUGUGUAUUUUAUUGCUACCAAUGCUGAUUGAGUCACUUGAGUGUUAAUACAAACCUAGAAAAAAAAGUCUGGAUGGAAUCACAGUAACAGUGUUUAAAGUGUUUAUUUCAGUCAUAAUUGCACUGUUUUUAUAUAAAGCCUUUGAUCUGUAGGUUGAAAAGAGGCAAAGCCAGUAGUCCACAGUAGAAGCAACCGAAUAAACUUCUCUGUAAAGUUUAAGAAAAAAAAAAAAAAAGCAAGUCCACAGUCAGAUAUGCACUUGGACAUACACAGCAGGGAGAUGAAAUCCAGAUUCCAGCAAACCAAAAAACACAGCUCAUUGCCAUCCCAACUAAUGACGUCCCUCUUCUGAGGACAUGGCAGAGCUGGGUUGCUGCCGAGCUGUUCACGGCCUUGCCUGCACCCAGGGAGCACCCAAAACCGAAAGUGCAAAGGGUUUACUGGGCAUGCACGUGUCUGGGGGAGCCCCGCGACACACUGCGUGAGUAGGGGGGGUGUUGAAACAUCUGAUGAUUUAGAGCAUUUCCUUCAGCAUCUCAUUUCCAUUAAUGAAACUACUGGCAACAAGGUAGUCCAUUUUUAUUUUCAUUUGGUUUGAAUUUCUAAAAAGCAUAAUUUCAGCGAUUUUUCUCUGUUCUUCCCCACACACACAAAAAUUGCUUUAGACAGGAAGAAUUUUCUAAAUUGAGUUAGACUCGA
This 893-nucleotide long non-coding RNA is filed under the name Cairina moschata (Muscovy duck). Its description in RNAcentral is "domestica (muscovy Duck (domestic type)) lncRNA (ENSCMMG00000007294.1)". The record is from RNAcentral. Lineage: Eukaryota; Metazoa; Chordata; Aves; Anseriformes; Anatidae.